Molecule: long non-coding RNA, 481 nt
Filed under: Mytilus galloprovincialis (Mediterranean mussel)
Lineage: Eukaryota; Metazoa; Mollusca; Bivalvia; Mytilida; Mytilidae
Source: RNAcentral
AAAAUGUUUUCUUUUACAAACUGUGACUUGAAUGUAGAGUUGUCUUAUCGGCACUCAUACCACAUCUUCUUAUUUUUACAACUGAUAUACGUAAGAGGGUAUGGAUGGGAGUUAACAAUAAUGGGCAAAAAAUACAAAGAAUACAGAAAAGGGACAAAAAAUACAUAGAAUAUAGAAAAGGGACAAAAAAUACAAAGAAUACAGAAAAGGGACCCAAAAAAAAGAAUAGUGAAUAAUAAGGUGAUAAAAUAUAAAUAAAAGAGAAAAAUGGCUGAAAAAGUAAAGAAUGCAGUUCAAUGAAAGAACCGCACUCAGUCCCUCAUGGUAGACACAGAAUUAGAUAUUCGACUCAACUCGGUCGAUUCCGUACCCUCAUCAUAGAAGAAGAGUAGCGGAUUCUUCCAAGGAUUGCCGAAUGGGAUUUAGGUACAAGUACUUAUUUAUAGUUUAAUAGAUACAUUCAUUUAGAAACAGAGCGAAC